This 587-nucleotide long non-coding RNA is filed under the name Nicotiana benthamiana. RNAcentral's name for it is "long non-coding RNA (NBEN_LNC020405)". Lineage: Eukaryota; Viridiplantae; Streptophyta; Magnoliopsida; Solanales; Solanaceae. The record is from RNAcentral.
AAAGAAAUUGAAGUGGACACGAAUAGGGAGGUAGGAUUUGUUGCUUCUGUGGAUGAUGCUAGGUCAGCUGCCCAUAUAGAUACCAAUGUUGAAGACGAUAGUCCCACUGUGCUGUCUAUGAAAAGAAAGCUUCAAGGUAAGUUGACCUAAAUAGUUCGUUUCGCUAUUUUUUACUACUUUGUUAUGGCUUUACAAUGUUGAAGAUGAUAGUCCCACUGUGCUGUCUAUGAAAAGAAAGCUUCAAGGUAAGUUGACCUAAAUAGUUCGUUUCGCUAUUUUUUACUACUUUGUUAUGGCUUUACAAUUUUCCUUUUGUGGAUUCUGAUUGCUAAAGUGUCACAAGAAUCUUAUUUGCUCUAAUUUUACUGGCUAUUAGGGGAUACUUCAAAGUAGAAAGAACAAUGAGUACAGAGAUUUGAGAAGCAUUCCCUGUAGGCUUUAUGCAUAUCCCGGCCGCACCUUUUUCAAGGAACACUUCUGUAUUUACAUUUCAUUCCUCUCAUGUCUUCGGACAUUGCAAUUAUUACGACUUUACAUUUUGUUUUUUUAUUCUGAUUGCUAAAGUGUCGCAAAAAUUUUAUUUGCCG